AGGACGAACGCUGGCGGCGUGCCUAAUACAUGCAAGUCGAGCGGACAGAUGGGAGCUUGCUCCCUGAUGUUAGCGGCGGACGGGUGAGUAACACGUGGGUAACCUGCCUGUAAGACUGGGAUAACUCCGGGAAACCGGGGCUAAUACCGGAUGCUUGAUUGAACCGCAUGGUUCAAUUAUAAAAGGUGGCUUUCAGCUACCACUUACAGAUGGACCCGCGGCGCAUUAGCUAGUUGGUGAGGUAACGGCUCACCAAGGCAACGAUGCGUAGCCGACCUGAGAGGGUGAUCGGCCACACUGGGACUGAAACACGGCCCAAACUCCUACGGGAGGCAGCAGUAGGGAAUCUUCCGCAAUGGACGAAAGUCUGACGGAGCAACGCCGCGUGAGUGAUGAAGGUUUUCGGAUCGUAAAACUCUGUUGUUAGGGAAAAACAAGUACCGUUCGAAUAGGGCGGUACCUUGACGGUACCUAACCAGAAAGCCACGGCUAACUACGUGCCAGCAGCCGCGGUAAUACGUAGGUGGCAAGCGUUGUCCGGAAUUAUUGGGCGUAAAGCGCGCGCAGGCGGUUUCUUAAGUCUGAUGUGAAAGCCCCCGGCUCAACCGGGGAGGGUCAUUGGAAACUGGGGAACUUGAGUGCAAAAAAGGAGAGUGGAAUUCCACGUGUAGCGGUGAAAUGCGUAAAGAUGUGGAGGAACACCAGUGGCGAAGGCGACUCUCUGGUCUGUAACUGACGCUGAGGCGCGAAAGCGUGGGGAGCGAACAGGAUUAGAUACCCUGGUAGUCCACGCCGUAAACGAUGAGUGCUAAGUGUUAGAGGGUUUCCGCCCUUUAGUGCUGCAGCAAACGCAUUA
RNAcentral lists this ribosomal RNA (856 nucleotides) under Bacillus sp. DRBS2. RNAcentral describes it as "bacterial SSU rRNA". It matches the Rfam family "Bacterial small subunit ribosomal RNA", at positions 26 to 862 of the family's 1533-position model. The record is from RNAcentral. RNAcentral also lists the same sequence under 1 other name. Lineage: Bacteria; Bacillati; Bacillota; Bacilli; Caryophanales; Bacillaceae.